AGGCUCCUGUGCUCAAAGGUGGGGCUUUUGGAAGGUGAUUGUGAAGUAGAAGAUUACGGCUCGACAAAACCGGGUUGAGCAAGUGGGCAUUGCCUGUCCGUCAUGAAGGCCCAAAACCCAGGUACAGAACCCGGAAUCCAGGAUGACUGAGCAAGCUCCCGGACCCUGUGUGUGGGACUCCGGGACUAAUCAGAAAGGGCUAUCUUCUGUUCUUCCUUUACGUCUGGUAUGAGACCAAACAGACCUUUAACAGGAGCUUAAAUCUGACAUCAGGCCAAGGUUGAACUCUGCAAGGCUCUACUGCAGGUUCCAGCUGCCUUUCCCCUGAAGAUAGUCCAUGUUCCUUCAAAUGGGAGGUGAUGAUCCCUCCAACUUACCAGCUCAGGAGAAUGGCCUUUAUGCCCCCUUGUGCCUCUGCAGUGUGGAACCAAGUAGCGGCACAGCCAGGCCAGAGGUGGUGUGUGUGUGUGUGUGUGUGUGUGUGUGUGUGUGGAAUGGGUGGGUUUUCAGGUGCCUGUGUGCUAAGCUACUCACUGGUGGGUGUACUGAGGGGUCCUCACUGUCUCACUGGUUGAAGGUGGGUGAGGCAAGCCCAAUGGAGCGAGGCUCCAGACACCCAGGGGCCUCUCAGCCUUCAUGCCUAGCUACUUGCUCGUGGGUGUGCCAAAGGGGGUACAAGUGAGUUUCUGAUAGGACAACCUCCAAAAUGCUUUGUUUUCAUGGGGGAGAAGCAAAGCUAGAAGCAGGAAAUAUGAAAGAGCCUGGCCAUUAACCUCAUGCUGCGUUGAACCUUUCUCUGGGUGCUCUGUUUCUAUGGAGUGUAUUUCUUUUCCAUUUUCAAUAAAUGCAAAUUCUCACUACCUCUUCCAUGUGUCUUGUCCAAUUCUUCGUUUAGGACACCAAGAACUGGAAAGAAUUGCUUCAGGGACUAAAGCCAGUAACAAUUGGACUGUGGGGGCUUUAGCUGACUUGGUGUUAGGAAGUGGGGUCUGGUUGGAAGAGGCAGCUCACUGGGAUGUGGUCUGUCACUGGUGGGGUGGUCUGGAGGUGUUAUCUCCCUCCCCAG
This 1066-nucleotide long non-coding RNA is filed under the name Heterocephalus glaber (naked mole-rat). RNAcentral describes it as "lncRNA (ENSHGLG00000031970.1)". The record is from RNAcentral. Lineage: Eukaryota; Metazoa; Chordata; Mammalia; Rodentia; Bathyergidae.